GAUGAACGCUAGCGGCAGGCCUAACACAUGCAAGUCAGGGGUAACAGAGAAGCUUGCUUCUGCUGACGACCGGCGCACGGGUGCGUAACGCGUAUGCAACCUACCUCAUACAGGAGAAUAGCCCUUGGAAACGAGGAUUAAUACUCCAUAGUAUCAUUCUUUCGCAUGUUAGAAUGAUUAAAGAAUUUCGGUAUGAGAUGGGCAUGCGUCCCAUUAGCUUGUUGGUGAGGUAACGGCUCACCAAGGCAACGAUGGGUAGGGGGCCUGAGAGGGUGGUCCCCCACACUGGUACUGAGACACGGACCAGACUCCUACGGGAGGCAGCAGUGAGGAAUAUUGGUCAAUGGAGGAAACUCUGAACCAGCCAUGCCGCGUGAAGGAUGACGGCCCUAUGGGUUGUAAACUUCUUUUAUAUGGGAAGAAACUUAUCUACGUGUAGAUAACUGACGGUACCAUACGAAUAAGGAUCGGCUAACUCCGUG
Molecule: ribosomal RNA, 482 nt
Filed under: uncultured bacterium
Lineage: Bacteria
Description: bacterial SSU rRNA
Rfam family: Bacterial small subunit ribosomal RNA
Source: RNAcentral